CAGUCGCCGCGGGAAUACGUAGGUGGCAAGCGUUAUCCGGAAUUAUUGGGCGUAAAGCGCGCGUAGGCGGUUUUUUAAGUCUGAUGUGAAAGCCCACGGCUCAACCGUGGAGGGUCAUUGGAAACUGGAAAACUUGAGUGCAGAAGAGGAAAGUGGAAUUCCAUGUGUAGCGGUGAAAUGCGCAGAGAUAUGGAGGAACACCAGUGGCGAAGGCGACUUUCUGGUCUGUAACUGACGCUGAUGUGCGAAAGUGUGGGGAUCAAACAGGAUUAGAUACCCGCGUAGUCCCUGUCUCUUAUAC
RNAcentral lists this ribosomal RNA (301 nucleotides) under uncultured bacterium. Its description in RNAcentral is "partial 16S ribosomal RNA". It matches the Rfam family "Bacterial small subunit ribosomal RNA", at positions 509 to 807 of the family's 1533-position model. The record is from RNAcentral.